This 863-nucleotide ribosomal RNA is filed under the name Chrysoporthe inopina. RNAcentral's name for it is "LSU rRNA". It matches the Rfam family "Eukaryotic large subunit ribosomal RNA", at positions 49 to 942 of the family's 3401-position model. Lineage: Eukaryota; Fungi; Ascomycota; Sordariomycetes; Diaporthales; Cryphonectriaceae. The record is from RNAcentral.
AGCGGAGGAAAAGAAACCAACAGGGAUUGCCCUAGUAACGGCGAGUGAAGCGGCAACAGCUCAAAUUUGAAAUCUGGCCUCGGCCCGAGUUGUAAUUUGCAGAGGAUGUUUCUGGCGCGGUGCCUUCCGAGUUCCCUGGAACGGGACGCCACAGAGGGUGAGAGCCCCGUAUGGUUGGACACUAAGCCUGUGUGAAACUCCUUCGACGAGUCGAGUAGUUUGGGAAUGCUGCUCAAAAUGGGAGGUAAAUCUCUUCUAAAGCUAAAUACCGGCCAGAGACCGAUAGCGCACAAGUAGAGUGAUCGAAAGAUGAAAAGCACCUUGAAAAGGGGGUUAAACAGUACGUGAAAUUGUUGAAAGGGAAGCGCUUGUGACCAGACUUGCGCCGGGCGGCUCAUCCGGGGUUUUCCCCGGUGCACUCCGCCCGGCUCAGGCCAGCAUCGGUUCUCGUUGGGGGAUAAGAACGGCAGGAACGUGGCCCUCCUUCGGGUGGGUGUUAUAGCCUGCCGUACGAUACCCUGACGGGGACCGAGGUUCGCGCUCCGCAAGGAUGCUGGCGUAAUGGUCAUCAGCGACCCGUCUUGAAACACGGACCAAGGAGUCGUCCAUUAGAGCGAGCGUUUGGGUGUCAAACCCGCACGCGUAAUGAAAGUGAAAUUAGGUGAGAGCUUCGGCGCAUCAUCGACCGAUCCUGAUGUUCUCGGAUGGAUUUGAGUAAGAGUUUUAACGGACGGACCCGAAAGACAGUGAACUAUGCUUGUAUAGGGUGAAGCCAGAGGAAACUCUGGUGGAGGCUCGCAGCGGUUCUGACGUGCAAAUCGAUCGUCAAAUAUGAGCAUGGGGGCGAAAGACUAAUCGAACUG